RNAcentral lists this long non-coding RNA (399 nucleotides) under Struthio camelus australis. RNAcentral's name for it is "lncRNA (ENSSCUG00000014003.1)". The record is from RNAcentral. Lineage: Eukaryota; Metazoa; Chordata; Aves; Struthioniformes; Struthionidae.
AUCAUACCAUAUUAGAGACAAUAUGGAAGAUCUGGAUUCAGUUUGACUGUGUGUGCGCGUAUCUGCAUGCACCUACUCAGAGAUACAAAGACAAUCGCAGAUCUGGAUUCCAGCAGGAUAUUGUCCGAGAAUUCUUGCAUGAGUCUGGAGAAAUCAGCAUACAUUGCAGCAAACUAUCGAGUGGUAAUGUGGAGAUGGUCUCUUCAAGAUGAGCUUAUCAUGCCAAGUCCAAGAAAUACGGUUGGGAGACUUGUGCUAAGGGAGACGUGCGCACUCACCAGAUGAUGAAAUAAGCAGCACAGAAAGCUUGUGAAAUGCUACUAUGUUUCUGCCAGAUCAGUGAACAGGUAUACAUGAGUUACAAACUUCGGUGCAGAGACAUCUGAGCUGCAGGCCUAU